AACGAACGCUGGCGGCAUGCCUAACACAUGCAAGUCGAACGAGACCUCCGGGUCUAGUGGCGCACGGGUGCGUAACGCGUGGGAACCUGCCCUUAGGUUCGGAAUAACUCCCCGAAAGGGGUGCUAAUACCGGAUAAUGUCUUCGGACCAAAGAUUUAUCGCCUUUGGAUGGGCCCGCGUUGGGUUAGCUAGUUGGUAGGGUAAAAGCCUAUCAAGGCGUCGAUCCAUAGCUGGUCUGAGAGGAGGUUCAGCCACACUGGGACGGGGACACGGCCCAGACUCCAGGGGGGGGAGGGGUGGGGGAUAUUGUGGGAUGGGGCAAAACCCAGCUCCGGCACUGCCGGGGAAUUGAUGAGGGCUUUGGGGUGGAAAAGCUCUUUUCCCCGGGAUGAAAUGGACAUUCCGGGGAAAAAAAGUCCCGCCUAACCCCUU
RNAcentral lists this ribosomal RNA (432 nucleotides) under uncultured bacterium. RNAcentral's name for it is "partial 16S ribosomal RNA". It matches the Rfam family "Bacterial small subunit ribosomal RNA", at positions 29 to 506 of the family's 1533-position model. The record is from RNAcentral.